RNAcentral lists this transfer RNA (66 nucleotides) under Psychrobacter sp. RNAcentral describes it as "tRNA-Arg". It matches the Rfam family "tRNA", at positions 1 to 63 of the family's 71-position model. From Rfam's summary of the family: Transfer RNA (tRNA) molecules are approximately 80 nucleotides in length. Their secondary structure includes four short double-helical elements and three loops (D, anti-codon, and T loops). Further hydrogen bonds mediate the characteristic L-shaped molecular structure. tRNAs have two regions of fundamental functional importance: the anti-codon, which is responsible for specific mRNA codon recognition, and the 3' end, to which the tRNAs corresponding amino acid is attached (by aminoacyl-tRNA synthetases). tRNAs cope with the degeneracy of the genetic code in two manners: having more than one tRNA (with a specific anti-codon) for a particular amino acid; and 'wobble' base-pairing, i.e. permitting non-standard base-pairing at the 3rd anti-codon position. Lineage: Bacteria; Pseudomonadati; Pseudomonadota; Gammaproteobacteria; Moraxellales; Moraxellaceae. The record is from RNAcentral.
GCGCUUGUAGCUCAGUUGGAUAGAGCACUUGGCUACGAACUAAGGGGUCGGGAGUUCGAAUCUCUC